This 1633-nucleotide long non-coding RNA is filed under the name Sus scrofa (pig). RNAcentral's name for it is "lncRNA (ENSSSCG00025066719.1)". Lineage: Eukaryota; Metazoa; Chordata; Mammalia; Artiodactyla; Suidae. The record is from RNAcentral.
AGACAGGCACAUGCUCAUUAAAUGUGUCUUCACUGAUGACCAUUCACAUAAAUUUUCAGGGGAGAGGCCAAGAUUUAGUACCUUGGGAACAGAGCUCCUUGGGCCUCAAGCUGAUCCUUGUACACCCUGAGAGCUCACCACCUUGCUUUAAUUCACUAAUGCAAAGCCAGUCCUACGGUUUGAAAUUAGAUGCAACUUCCCCUCAGGAAACAUGAUAGCUUCCUCUACGGCCAGAGACAAGGUCCCCCCACAGAGGGUGCCACUGAAAUAAAAAUGCAUUAAUUCAUUCUUAUAAUGAAAUGCUCCAAGAGUGCUUAUUUCCUGUUUCCUGGGGCCUAAACAACACAAGAGAUUUUAUCUGAUGUUUGCAGUGCUGCUCCGAUCGAGCCACUGCAGGCUAUAUAUACCCAUGCAGUCGAGAAACAUGAAAACAGAAGCGCCAGUCCUGGUUGGUUUGUUUUUAGCAGUGGUUUCCUCUAGGGAAUGAGGCCAGGGGUUGGAGGAAAGGGACUUUUAUUCAUCUACGUAUUUUAUUUAUUUGGAUCUCUAUUUUUAAUAUUUUUCUGUAUCUUCUGAAGAUCACUUUUACUGGCUGGGAGUUCCCGUCGUGGCUCAGUGGUAAUGAACCCGACUAGAACCAUGAGGUCGCGGGUUCGGUCCCUGCCCUUGCUCAGUGGGUUAACGAUCCGGUGUUGCCGUGAGCUGUGGUGUAGGUUGCAGACGCGGCUCGGAUCCCACGUUGCUGUGGCUCUGGCGUAGGCCGGUGGCUACAGCUCCGAUUAGACCCCUAGCCUGGGAACCUCCAUAUGCCGCGGGAGCGGCCCAAGAAAUAGCAGCAACAACAACAACAAAAGACAAAAAGACAAAAAAAAUAAAUAAAAAUAAAUAAAUAAAAAUAAAUAAAGCUGGCAAAAAAAAAAAAAAAUCAGUUUAAGACACAAGGCACAUGUGGAACUGUUUCUAGAACCUCUUUAGAAAGCCAUUCUCUUUACAAGCAGGUUUAGCCCUUUGGGAGAGAAAUCUGGCACUAAAUAACAAAAGUCUCAAAUUCUCUAAUUCUGUUGGUAGGAAUGCUAAGUAAAUAAUCCUAAUUACCCCAAAAAACAAGUGCACAAAAAAAUCUUUUUUUACCACAGCAUCAUUUAUAAACAGUGAAAGCCUGCAAAUACCAUAAAGGAAAAUCCGACCACACAGGGAAAUGACAGUACAGAGUGGCGUGUACGUUGUCAUCAGAAACACGCCUGUGAAUUAACUUUUUUAGUGAGGAAUGCUUUGUUAUGUUUGAGAAAAAAGUGAGCGAACCAUCCAGCACGUGCAAUGGCCUCACCACUCAGCAAAAGCAUGCAGAGAGACUUAAAAUGUUGACAGUGGUUGUCUUCAAAUAGUGCGAGUACAAGGGGUUUUUCUUUCUACUCUUUGCUCUUUUCUGCAAAGAUGUUUACAGCUUAUAUAUUACCUUAAUAGUGAAAAAUGAAACUAUUUAAAAAGAAAAUAAAGCUGCUCUAUUUCGAGAUGUUGGCCAGUGUUCCAGGGGGUCUGCAUGAAGCCAGUGGCUGCUGGGCAGUGCAGAGGGAACUCAAACUCCAGGAACAGGGAUCUCUUGGCCUCGAAACCCAGCUCUGCCCUCUGCAGG